GACGAACGCUGGCGGCGUGCUUAACACAUGCAAGUCGAACGGAAAGGCCCUGCUUUUGUGGGGUGCUCGAGUGGCGAACGGGUGAGUAACACGUGAGUAACCUGCCCUUGACUUUGGGAUAACUUCAGGAAACUGGGGCUAAUACCGGAUAGGAGCUCCUGCUGCAUGGUGGGGGUUGGAAAGUUUCGGCGGUUGGGGAUGGACUCGCGGCUUAUCAGCUUGUUGGUGGGGUAGUGGAUUACCAAGGCUUUGACGGGUAGCCGGCCUGAGAGGGUGACCGGCCACAUUGGGACUGAGAUACGGCCCAGACUCCUACGGGAGGCAGCAGUGGGGAAUAUUGCACAAUGGGCGGAAGCCUGAUGCAGCCACGCCGCGUGCGGGAUGACGGCCUUCGGGUUGUAAACCGCUUUCGCCUGUGACGAAGCGUGAGUGACGGUAAUGGGUAAAGAAGCACCGGCUAACUACGUG
RNAcentral lists this ribosomal RNA (468 nucleotides) under uncultured bacterium. RNAcentral describes it as "partial 16S ribosomal RNA". It matches the Rfam family "Bacterial small subunit ribosomal RNA", at positions 28 to 507 of the family's 1533-position model. The record is from RNAcentral.